UUAUAUUAACAUUUCACCAUAAUUUCCUCCAAUUCAACAUUUCACAAUCAUUUUCAAAAUGCCAAUUCGAUUUUAUAAUCAAUUCUAUUUCAUCAUCAAUUUAAAACCAUUAAGCGAUUUAAAAGAUCACACAAUUCUCGAUUCAAUGUCGAGCCCAUUUUUCAAAUCCCUUUGUAAGUCGAUUGCUUUUAAGCAUCACCAUCAACCUCACAUAGCUUACUCUUGGGCUUUCUUACAAUGAAACCGUUCUCUCGCACCUACACUCAUGCAUUGUUUAUUUGUUGAUUGGGCCCGAUUUAAUUAUUACACUAUCUUGAAUCCCCAUUUGACCAAAUGUACCCCCAUUCCCAUGACAUGUAAUAAUUUUAUCGCUUUUUAUUUCUUUAUUUGCUUGACUGUUUAGCUAGUUACUAACACAAGAAUAAAAUCAAUUUCUUUUCAAAAAGAUAAAAAAAAUAAUGACUCGAUCCAAUGUCGAGUAUUUUCUCAAUAAACAAAUCAAUC
This 504-nucleotide long non-coding RNA is filed under the name Lathyrus oleraceus (garden pea). Its description in RNAcentral is "Pisum sativum (pea) long non-coding RNA (PSAT_LNC033232)". Lineage: Eukaryota; Viridiplantae; Streptophyta; Magnoliopsida; Fabales; Fabaceae. The record is from RNAcentral.